RNA transcript from Gossypium raimondii (Peruvian cotton), 2853 nucleotides. RefSeq lists it as uncharacterized. The transcript is spliced from 4 exons. The record is from RefSeq and is a predicted model, not a curated record. NCBI's taxonomy places the organism in Eukaryota, Viridiplantae, Streptophyta, Magnoliopsida, Malvales, Malvaceae.
AAGGUAAUCAAAAUCCCGCUCACUCCCAAAACAAAUUUUUGGUUACCCGCUCAUUACUCCCUCUUCUUCUCAUCUCCGUCGUGCGCCCUAAAUCCCCCAAAUAAAAGUUUGUUUUUCUUCAGCUGAAAUCCCCCAAAUUUCCCAUUUCCAACAACAGACUUCAAGGAAGAAAACCAGACGAUGGGAUGGAAUCACUUAGACAUAUCGCUAGAAGAAAUGAUGAAACUGAUAGAAGGGUUUGUUGAUAUCCUGGUUUUGUCUUCUGGGUAUCAAUCCUCUGGUCUUCCCGCACACUGGGACUUUGAUAACAUCAAGCAAGCCUUUCAAUGGGCCCUCUUCUUUGAAAAUGUCAGUAGUCUAUACCCUCUUUGAAAAUGUCUGACAAGAGAUGCUAAGUCGGAUUUUGUUCCAGAUCUUCAACAGCAGAAAGAUUGUCACGAUGGAAUUGUCGUUAAUGGCGGAAGUGAUGGCCUUUUACUCUCACAUGCCAACAGCAACAAGCUCAUUAUCUAUACCGAUCCCGGGAUUGGUCAGUUUCGUUCCUUUUUUUUAUUUAUUUACUUUUUCUCUGGUUGGCUACCAAUUUAGUUGCAUAAAUUAGAAUUAUAAUGAAAUAGGAAACAAUUUUACCUUUUCAAUUUAUAUUUUUCCUGGGAGUUUUAUUUUGGGAUAAGCCAUAAAGUUUGAUUUAAAAAGCUACGUUGACUCUCUUUGUCUAUAUAGAAAAGUUUUAUUUUAGGGGCAUGUGAUGAGAUCUAUAUAGGAAAGUUUCGGGUUUUGAUAUGUAUAUAAUGAAACCAGAAAAUUUUUAUUAAAUUAUACAAGGAAGUGAAAACAAUAUGGAGUGGAUUGAUUGAUUGGCAGGAUUAGAUAUGUAGAGAUUUUGUUUGAGUUUGACCUUGAGCAAUGUAUGAAUGCGUUUGUCAUUUGAUUAACAAAUGAUAGCAUGGCGAUCUUUACAAAAUCCAGAAUAUGAGAUCUUAGGUUUGACCACCAUAGUUGGCAAUGUCCAAACCGAAGAUGCCACUCGUAAUGCCUUACUUCUGGUACAUGCUUCUCAUUUCUGGUUUUCAUAUGCAUUUGGAAUACGUUCAUGAUUUUAUCCUCUUUUUGAGGUGCAAAAGGAUAGUGUGAAAUCGCAAGGCGUCCUGAUGUUCCUGUAGCACAAGGCAGCCUCGAGCCGCUUACGGAGACAGCCUUGCAAUAUUGAGAGCAGAGUUAAAGAGUCAAAAUAAGCAUGUGAAAAAUUUGAAGAAAAAAUCUCUUUGGUCUAGAAUUUUGGAAGAGGUCAUGGAGAAGCUUGUAUAUAUCGUUCAUUUCUUGCACUUGGAGAUUCACGAGGCGUUUGGCGUUGCUGGUAAGAAUUUAAAUCAUCAAACUCAAAUAAUUUGGAAAUGGAAUUAUUUUAUCAAGGAAGUUAUGAAGAUAAAAUUAAAAUAUUUAUGCUACAUUUGGUGGGAGUAUUAUUUUUUAUGCAUGUUUUAGUAUAUAAGUUAGAAAUAAACUAAUUCAAUUGGUAAUAUUUAACCAUUCCUAUGACUUAUUUUAGCAAAGAGAAGGAAAAUAUUUGUUUAUUUUGAAGAGGUCUUAUUUUUACAGGAGUUUUAUUCAUCUUUCUAAUUUCAAGUUUAAAAUUGUACUAACUAUUCUUUAUGUUACGUCUAAGCAUUCUUGUAUUUCCUCCAGUUUAAAAUUAUACUAAUUUCAAGUUUAAAAUUGUACUAACUAUUUCCCCGAAAAAUUACCUUUCAAAUCUGUCAGUUAAAUAAAAUUAUUUGUGAGAUUAAAUAAAUAAAUGUGCUAUAGUCUCUGUAAUUUGCCAUCUAAGCAUUCUUGUAUUUCAUCUAAUUUGUUUGUUGUUUAUGCUAAAGAACUGUGGCCUUUUUUAUCAUUUAUUUUGUGCAGGAAUUAGUGGUGCACCUCAAGAUAACAACAUUAUGCUUUGGAAUGUGGUUAUAUUUGGGUAUAUUAUGAAAUAAGACUAGAGAAUCUUUAUGUACUUGCUUUUUAGAUUAAAGUUCUAUUAAAUUGUGCUAAUGUCUUUACAUGAUGGAUUUGCAGACUAAUGCUAAUGUCUAUUAAAUUCUGGUGUUUUGGUUUGAAGCAUCAAUUUUUCUAUGUUCGUUUAGUUGAUUUGUUCGAUUUUCUCUUUAGAAGGUUGCUAUGCUCAAUAUAUGUUGAUGUAAUCUAUUUAAAAUUUCUGAGCGGUUUUAAAAUUUAUUUUGAUUAUUAUGUGAGGUUAGGCAACAAGGUGAAUAAUAUCGAUGAUUAUUACUUUGAUUAUUUAUGGUGCGAAGAUUAUAAGUAUAUCAAGGUGAUCUUUUCUGAUUGUCGUGAAACUUCUGCAUCUCAGCCGAGGUUAGUCUUAAUUGAUCUCAAUUGUCUCCUUGUUCCACUAUUAGCUAAAACAGUAAGCUCGUUGAUUUUCUGACUUGCUUAAUAGAUUAGUUGUUUCAUGUUUAGAAACUUUUGAUGCUCUUGGUCUUAUGUCCUGUAGUCAUUGAAAAAAAUUUGGUUCUCAUUCUUCACUUAACAAGUCCAGUGGCACAUACAUAUGUAAACUAGGAAUUCAUUAGUUUCAUUGCUGUAAUCUCUCUUAUUCAAUAUCUAAUUCAUUUCCAAGGUUGAGAUAGCUAAAAGUUGUCAAUUUCCUCGAGUAUUAAUUUUUGCAUUCAUGUUAUUUCCCAUUCAUAUUUAACUUGUCAAUAUCAAUUUUUGUUUUAAUGUGCUAUAAUUAUUUUCCCAAUUCUGCAGGGUACAUGAAGAUUGGAUAACCAGGAAUGUAGUAGAUGUAGUUUGCAUUGUAUUUUUAUUACCAAGAUUUACUUGAUUAAGAAAAUGCAUUGUAUUUUU